RNAcentral lists this ribosomal RNA (235 nucleotides) under uncultured Enterobacterales bacterium. RNAcentral describes it as "partial 16S ribosomal RNA". It matches the Rfam family "Bacterial small subunit ribosomal RNA", at positions 96 to 334 of the family's 1533-position model. Lineage: Bacteria; Pseudomonadati; Pseudomonadota; Gammaproteobacteria; Enterobacterales. The record is from RNAcentral.
UGGCGGACGGGUGAGUAAUGUCUGGGAAACUGCCUGAUGGAGGGGGAUAACUACUGGAAACGGUAGCUAAUACCGCAUAACGUCUCCGGACCAAAGUGGGGGACCUUCGGGCCUCACACCAUCGGAUGUGCCCAGAUGGGAUUAGCUUGUAGGUGGGGUAAUGGCUCACCUAGGCGACGAUCCCUAGCUGGUCUGAGAGGAUGACCAGCCACACUGGAACUGAGACACGGUCCAG